This 503-nucleotide ribosomal RNA is filed under the name uncultured bacterium. RNAcentral's name for it is "partial 16S ribosomal RNA". It matches the Rfam family "Bacterial small subunit ribosomal RNA", at positions 28 to 507 of the family's 1533-position model. The record is from RNAcentral.
GACGAACGCUGGCGGCGUGCUUAACACAUGCCAGUCGAACGGUGAAGCGCUUUCCUUUUUGGUUGGUGUGGAUGAGUGGCGAACGGGUGAGUAACACGUGAGUAACCUGCCCCCUUCUUCUGGAUAACCGCAUGAAAGUGUGGCUAAUACGGGAUAUUCUGCGCCUGCUGCAUGGUGGGUGUGGGAAAGAUUGUGCCUUUGGGUGUUUUCGGUGGGGGAUGGGCUCGCGGCCUAUCAGCUUGUUGGUGGGGUGAUGGCCUACCAAGGCGGUGACGGGUAGCCGGCCUGAGAGGGUGGACGGUCACACUGGGACUGAGACACGGCCCAGACUCCUACGGGAGGCAGCAGUGGGGAAUAUUGCACAAUGGGCGCAAGCCUGAUGCAGCGACGCCGCGUGAGGGAUGGAGGCCUUCGGGUUGUGAACCUCUUUCGCCAGUGAAGCAGGCCUGCUCCGUGUGGGUGGGUUGACGGUAGCUGGAUAAGAAGCGCCGGCUAACUACGUG